This 333-nucleotide ribosomal RNA is filed under the name uncultured eukaryote. RNAcentral's name for it is "partial 18S ribosomal RNA". It matches the Rfam family "Eukaryotic small subunit ribosomal RNA", at positions 1470 to 1797 of the family's 1831-position model. The record is from RNAcentral.
CCCUUAGAUGUUCUGGGCUGCACACGUGCUACACUGGCAGGUUCAGCGAGCUUCAUGCCCUGAUCUGAAAGGAAUGGGAAAUCUUUUCAAAACCUGCCGUGCUUGGGAUAGAUGUUUGCAAUUAUUCAUCUUCAACGAGGAUUGCCUUGUAAGCGCACGUCAUCAGCGUGCAUUGAAUACGACCCUGUAUUCUGUACACACCGCCCGUUGCUCCUACCGAUUGAAGUUUUCGGUGAGUUGACAGGAGGAUUUUUUUGAAACUGGUUCGCCAGUGGAUUUUAGAUCCAAAUGCCAACGAAUCGAUGGCUUUAGAGGAAGGAGAAGUCGUAACAA